This 1693-nucleotide long non-coding RNA is filed under the name Salvia miltiorrhiza (redroot sage). RNAcentral describes it as "long non-coding RNA (SMIL_LNC006483)". Lineage: Eukaryota; Viridiplantae; Streptophyta; Magnoliopsida; Lamiales; Lamiaceae. The record is from RNAcentral.
AAAAAAUGGGGCUGAGCGAAGAACUAGAGGCGGCGAAGCAAAGGGGUCCGAAUCGAAGGCUGAAAUCCUUGUAUUUCAACAACUUUCCGGCGACGUUCACGGCGCAAUGGCGAGAACAAGAUCUAAUCAACAGGGUUAGAUUUAAUAUGCAAAAUUCUAUGAAAUUUCAUUUUUAUUUGUUGGCCGUGUUCUUAUUUUACAUCAGAGUGGAUGUUUUUUCACCUAUAUUAAUCUUGGCAUAACUAAUUAAAAUUUGGGGGGGGGUGAUAUUAUGUGUAAUAUUGUAGAAAAAUAUCGAUUCAUGAAUUUCCUCUUAAUUAUUCGCACAUAGGAUUUUAGAAUUUCAUUUGAAUAAAUGUGUAAUUGAUGUGUGAAUAACCAUUUAUGCUAUGUUGGGUUAUGAAUUGGGACUAGUGUUGUUGUAAGCUUUAUUGAAUGUAAUGGCUGUGAAGCAGAACACGGGAUCUGGACACCGCAGCCAAAUACGAGAUCUGGACAUUCGGGGCUAGCCACGGGUUAUGAGGUGUGUUACUUAAUUUUUUUUUGUUUUUUUUUAUUUCAAUUUUUAAUUGGUCUUUAUGUGAUAUUACUACGCUUAAUUUUCUAAUGAUUCGAUGGCAACAAUGAAUAUAUAGGUUCAGGAGCCGCAAAUUCUAGCACCAACAGCGAAUGUUGGGGUUGAGGGAGAUGUUAUGGUUGACGUAAGUGUUUAAUUACUAAUUUAGUUAAAUGUUGUUUUGAUGCGUUAAAAUUAUGCAUACAUUCGUGACUUAUAUCCUAUUUAAGGAGGAUUAUGAUUUAAAUAUGAAUAUUGGCAUCAUAGUUAGAAUUCAAUUGGGUAUAUUAAUAUGCGAAUUAUGCAUGGUGGUGUACGAAUUAUGAUGCAUGAGGUGUGAAUAUAGUAAAAUGGCUUUUAUCUGUUGGCUUGUCUACAUUUGUGAAAUAAAGUAGGUUUAGAUGUGAAUUAUUUUGAUGUAGUAUGCGAAUUAUCAGGACUAGUGUGUGAAUCGAUUGACAUGGCUUUAUUCCAUAUACUUGUGUGUUUAUAUGAAAUAUGGUAGAUUACGUGUGAAUUUUUAUGAUUAAUGUGCGAAUUGUCAUGAGUAGCGUGCGAAUUAGGUUACAUGGCCUAAUUCCAUAUACUUGUGUAUGUAGUUGUAACUGAUCUCUCAGUUGCGAAUUAUGAUGAUUUAUGUGCGAAUUACGAUGAAUGAAGUGUGAAUCGAGUGAUGGGUGAUAAAUUAUUUAUUUGAGUCAUGGUGUGUUGUGAAAAAUCAGUUAAUAUAAUUAUUGGUACAUUUCACAUGUAUCAUCAUUAUUCGCAUGAUUAGUGAUAAAAUUCACAUCUUUAUUAGUCCCAACAUGCGAAUUAUGAUGAAUGAAGUGCGACUCGAGUGAGGGUGAUAAAUUAUAUAUUUGAGUCAUGGUGUGUUGUGAAAAACCAGUUCAAAUAAUUAUUUAUACAUCAUUAGAUUAUGCACACGAGUUUUUUUUACUUGAGGAAUUAAUUAUAUUUUCUAAUCAUGUGCAAAUCGGGUGCACCGCAUAGGAACUGUAGCUGAAGAACUACAUAACAUGCCUCGUGUCAGUACAAACAUUGCAAGGCGUGGAAAGGAAAAUUUGGGAAUUACAGUAUAUGGGAUAAGUACAGUAUUCACAACGCAAUGGAGACAAGUGCAAAGCUUAGUUUUGA